AUGGGAAUACCUUCCUUCUUCAGCUGGCUCGUGGGCAAGUACCCAAAAAUCGUCGGCACCAUCAUCGACGUCUACUCUGCCUCGUCAUCGGAGGAGGACGAGGAGGAAGAAAAAGAAGAAGAGGAGGAAGAGAAGGGGGGAGAAGAAGAGGUUGAUGAAGAUGAUGAUGAAGAAGAGAUCAUCUACGACAACCUCUACCUCGACAUGAAUGAAAUCAUCCACAAAUGCUUCCGCCUCAACAACGGGCUGGUGUACAAUUGGUUUUUCGCUUACUUGGAUCGCCUGUUUCGCAUCGUCAGGCCAAGGAGGCUCCUUUACUUGGCAGUAGAUGGCGUCGCCCCUAUGUCCAAGAUGACCAAGCUGCGACAGAGGUACUUCAAAACUGCCAAGUAUCGUGCAGACUCGGAGGCUGAAGCGAUUCUCUUGACGGAGAUAUUCAGAGCUCAGGGGAAAGAGGUGAUGCCCCGAGAUACGUACGAGCUUGAGAAUCCUGUUGUCAAGAUGCCGGGGACGGAAUUCAUGGAGAAGAUAUCAGCAGCGCUGGAGUACUUCAUCCGCGAACGGUUGAAUACGGACCCUGAAUGGAAAGACAUCAAGGUAAUACUUUCUGAUGCAAAUGUUCCUGGAGAAGGGGAGCACAAGAUCAUGUCUUUCAUUCGCGCGCAACGAAGCAUGGAAAACUAUGAUCCGAACACCCGCCAUUGUCUGCAUGGGCAUGAUGCAGAUCUGAUCAUGCUUGCGUUGGCAUCUCACGAAGUCCACAUUUCAAUUUUGCGGGAGUUCGAUAAUCCAAAUGGCAGGAUACCCGCGAGAUUUUAUCAGUUUGUGGACAUAUGGAUUCUGAGAGAGUACUUGGAGCUUGAAAUGAAGACACCAGGUUGCAAACAAGAUACCGAGAGACUAAUAGAUGACUUUAUCUUUAUUUGUUUCUUGACAGGAAACGAUUUCAUUCCACAGAUUCCUUCACUAGAGAUAAAUGAAUUUGCAGUUGAUCUUCUCAUUGAAGUGUACAAAACAACCUUCAACAAAAUGGGGGGCUAUAUGGUCAACACAGACAAAAUCAAAGAUAAAUACGGUGCGUAUCUGGAAGUCUCAAGGUUAGAGAAGUUCUUUCAUGAACUGUCCUUGUGCGAAGAGAAAAUUUUACUCAAAAGAUAUGAACUGCAAGAGAAGUUACUGUGCAAGAUACAGAGUGAAGCUGCAGUAAAGGAAUGGGCCAAGGGAGAGGACAGGGGAGAGAAGAAAACAUCAUUUGCUCAACAUUUUUUUUAUCCUGUAGAGACUUCCCUUGAAAGAAAGUCUGACGAUGUGGUCCGAAAGAAUACCAGGGAGCUAUGGAGAACUGUGAGCGAUAUUUUCUGUAAUAAGGAUGACCUUUUUAAAAAUGGAGCCUGCAAACAAGACAAGAUAAGACCAGGAUGGAAAUCCCGGUUCUACAGAGAGAAGCUUGGUGCCGAAACUUCUAAAGAAGUUGGAAGGCUGCAGACAGAAAUGGUUCAGAAGUAUUUAGAAGGAUUAUGCUGGAUGCUUCAAUGCUAUUUUUAUGAAGUUCCUUCAUGGACUUGGUGCUACCCAUUCUAUUAUGCUCCUUUUGCAUCGGAUUUCAAAUGUCUGUCUCAAUUCAACAUAUCUUUCACCGUGGACAAACCACUAAGACCAUUUGAUCAGCUCAUGGCAGUUUUGCCACCACAAAAGAAUGUUUUGUCAUGUGCCCUUCCAAAAUGUUACAGCAAAUUAAUAGGCUGUGAAGAAUCUAAAAUACAAAUGUCCCAUCCAACAGAGUUCGAGAUUGAUCCAGAUGGCAAACGUUUCUUGUCACAAGGUAUUGCAAAGUUACCAUUCAUAGACAAGGAACUGCUGCUUUCAGCUACCAAAAUGGUAGAGAAAGAUCUAACGGAGGAUGAGAUGGCACGGAAUAAUGCUCGGCAGGAGAGGAUCUUCCUGAGGAACUCGCAGAGUCUGGCAAAUACUGCAGCAUUUGUGGCAACAAUUUCAGACAAUGCACAGAAAAAGCUUUGGAUAGACACUAGUGAAAUAGGGGGAUGGUUCUCACCAGAUGAGAAGGAGGUUGAAAGCUCUGCGUUAAGAAAAAAUAAGGUUCAACACGCGUGGUCGUGGAUAAGAGAUCCACACAUGACAGUUCCUCACAUCACAUCCCCUGUGUCACUGUGUGAAUGUCUCCUCAGAUCAGCAAUGUUCUUCAACCCUGAGGCAGUGAAGCCGAUUUCAAGACUGCUUGACAAUGUCAUAGUGCCUGACAAGACUAUAACUGAAGCGGACAUUCGGAAGAGGCCGAUGUGGCACACGUACCCGGGUCCAAGGCCAAGACGGCCGCAUGUCACCCACAAACCAGACACCCAUUGGAAGGCGAGCUCGCCGGCGACGCCGAGAGAAGAGCACAAGCUCGCCGGAGAGGGGUGGCUGGGACGGGGGAAGGGAAGCGCCGCUGCCACUGCCGAGACACGGCAGAUCGGGCCGAGCGGCUAUGGGAGAGGUUCCCAGGGUGCGGACAUGGCGCAGAGACAGAGCCGAGGCAGCCGGUUCGACGGCGGUGAUGAGUGGGCAGGAGGAGGCGGCGGCGGCGCGGUGAAGAGGCCGGAGACGGAGGGGCGGCCCGUUGGGUUGUGGGCGAGAGGAGGCGGCCGUCGCGGGAGCGGGCCAGCCCGCCGCGGUAGCACGUUUUAA
Molecule: ribosomal RNA, 2685 nt
Filed under: Triticum aestivum (bread wheat)
Lineage: Eukaryota; Viridiplantae; Streptophyta; Magnoliopsida; Poales; Poaceae
Description: partial small subunit ribosomal RNA
Source: RNAcentral